Myotis davidii is the source of this 76-nucleotide non-coding RNA. The record is from Rfam. NCBI's taxonomy places the organism in Eukaryota, Metazoa, Chordata, Mammalia, Chiroptera, Vespertilionidae.
GGUGGUUCUCGGGUGAUGCACCCUGGAACCAGAGAGGAGGGAGCAUGAUUCCGGGGUGUGUCACCCAAGAACGGCC